RNAcentral lists this ribosomal RNA (258 nucleotides) under uncultured cyanobacterium. RNAcentral describes it as "partial 16S ribosomal RNA". It matches the Rfam family "Bacterial small subunit ribosomal RNA", at positions 1277 to 1533 of the family's 1533-position model. Lineage: Bacteria; Bacillati; Cyanobacteriota. The record is from RNAcentral.
UAAACCGUGGCUCAGUUCAGAUCGUAGGCUGCAACUCGCCUACGUGAAGGAGGAAUCGCUAGUAAUCGCAGGUCAGCAUACUGCGGUGAAUACGUUCCCGGGCCUUGUACACACCGCCCGUCACACCAUGGAAGUUGGCCACGCCCGAAGCCGUUACUCCAACCCUUGUGGAGGAGGACGUCGAAGGUGGGGCUGAUGACUGGGGUGAAGUCGUAACAAGGUAGCCGUACCGGAAGGUGCGGCUGGAUCACCUCCUAA